ACAGAGGGUGCAAGCGUUGUUCGGAAUUAUUGGGCGUAAAGCGCGUGUAGGCGGCAAGGCAUGUCGGGUGUGAAAGCCCUCGGCUUAACCGAGGAAGUGCGCCCGAAACUACUUUGCUUGAGUACCGGAGAGGAUGGCGGAAUUCCCGGUGUAGAGGUGAAAUUCGUAGAUAUCGGGAGGAACACCAGUGGCGAAGGCGGCCAUCUGGACGGAUACUGACGCUGAGACGCGAAAGCGUGGGGAGCAAACAGGAUUAGAUACCCUGGUAGUCCACGCUGUAAACGAUGGGCGCUAGGUGUCGCGGGUGUUGACCCCUGCGGUGCCGAAGCUAACGCAUUAAGCGCCCCGCCUGGGAAGUACGGCCGCAAGGCUA
RNAcentral lists this ribosomal RNA (373 nucleotides) under uncultured bacterium. RNAcentral's name for it is "bacterial SSU rRNA". It matches the Rfam family "Bacterial small subunit ribosomal RNA", at positions 525 to 896 of the family's 1533-position model. The record is from RNAcentral.